GUUUUUAUAAUUUAAUAAAAAUAUUGAUUUUGUAAAUCAAAAAUAAGAUUUUCUUUAAAAGCA
RNAcentral lists this transfer RNA (63 nucleotides) under Chrysomelidae sp. SPH01. Its description in RNAcentral is "tRNA-Thr". Lineage: Eukaryota; Metazoa; Arthropoda; Insecta; Coleoptera; Chrysomelidae. The record is from RNAcentral.